This 398-nucleotide ribosomal RNA is filed under the name Rhyncogonus tuberculatus. RNAcentral's name for it is "partial 16S ribosomal RNA". It matches the Rfam family "Archaeal large subunit ribosomal RNA", at positions 1948 to 2634 of the family's 2987-position model. The record is from RNAcentral. Lineage: Eukaryota; Metazoa; Arthropoda; Insecta; Coleoptera; Curculionidae.
GGCCUGCCCACUGAAAGUUUAAAUGGCCGCGGUAUUUUGACCGUGCAAAGGUAGCAUAAUAAUUAGUUUUUUAAUUGAAAGCUGGAAUGAAAGGUUGGAUGAGAAAAUAACUGUCUCUAUUUAGAUAAAUUAGAAUUUUAUUUUUAAGUAAAAAAGCUUAAAUAAUAAUAGAAGACGAGAAGACCCUAUAGAGUUUUAAUUUAGUUGGGGUGAUUGAAAAAUUUAAUUAACUUUUUUUGUAUAUAAACAUUAAUAUAUGAGUGUUUGAUCCUUUAUUUAAGAUUAAAAGAAAAAAUUACCUUAGGGAUAACAGCGUAAUUUUUUUAGAGAGUUCAAAUCGAAAAAAAAGAUUGCGACCUCGAUGUUGGAUUAAAAUUAAGUCUUGGUGUAGAAGCUAA